AAAGGAAUUGACGGGGACCCGCACAAGCAGCGGAGCGUGUGGUUUAAUUCGAGGCUACGCGAAGAACCUUACCAGGGUUUGACAUGUACGUGGUAGGAAGCUGAAAAGUGACCGACCCUUCGGGGAGCGUACACAGGUGCUGCAUGGCUGUCGUCAGCUCGUGCCGUGAGGUGUUAGGUUAAGUCCUGUAACGAGCGCAACCCUCGUCGUUAGUUAUACGUGUCUAACGAGACUGCCGGUGAUAAGCCGGAGGAAGGUGGGGAUGAUGUCAAGUCAGCAUGGCCUUUAUAUCCUGGGCUACACACACGCUACAAUGGCCGGUACAAUGGGUUGCCAAGCCGCGAGGCGGAGCCAAUCCCCCAAAGCCGGUCUCAGUUCGGAUUGUAGGCUGCAACUCGCCUGCAUGAAGUCGGAGUUGCUAGUAAACGCGCGUCAGCAACAGUGCGUUGAAUACGUUCCCGGGUCUUGUACACACCGCCCGU
This 482-nucleotide ribosomal RNA is filed under the name uncultured bacterium. RNAcentral describes it as "bacterial SSU rRNA". It matches the Rfam family "Bacterial small subunit ribosomal RNA", at positions 903 to 1397 of the family's 1533-position model. The record is from RNAcentral.